RNAcentral lists this ribosomal RNA (494 nucleotides) under uncultured Methyloversatilis sp. RNAcentral's name for it is "bacterial SSU rRNA". It matches the Rfam family "Bacterial small subunit ribosomal RNA", at positions 903 to 1382 of the family's 1533-position model. Lineage: Bacteria; Pseudomonadati; Pseudomonadota; Betaproteobacteria; Nitrosomonadales; Sterolibacteriaceae. The record is from RNAcentral.
CGCCAGCCCGCUCAGAAACUUAAAGGAAUUGACGGGGACCCGCACAAGCGGUGGAUGAUGUGGAUUAAUUCGAUGCAACGCGAAAACCUUACCUACCCUUGACAUGUACGGAACCCUGCUGAGAGGUGGGGGUGCUCGAAAGAGAGCCGUAACACAGGUGCUGCAUGGCUGUCGUCAGCUCGUGUCGUGAGAUGUUGGGUUAAGUCCCGCAACGAGCGCAACCCUUGUCAUUAGUUGCUACGCAAGAGCACUCUAAUGAGACUGCCGGUGACAAACCGGAGGAAGGUGGGGAUGACGUCAAGUCCUCAUGGCCCUUAUGGGUAGGGCUUCACACGUCAUACAAUGGUCGGUACAGAGGGUUGCCAAGCCGCGAGGUGGAGCCAAUCCCAGAAAGCCGAUCGUAGUCCGGAUCGCAGUCUGCAACUCGACUGCGUGAAGUCGGAAUCGCUAGUAAUCGCGGAUCAGCAUGCCGCGGUGAAUACGUUCCGGGUCUU